CUGCCCCACCCUCCACAGUAUGGUUAAGUUGUCUCCUCUCUGCCCCAUCCUCCACAGUAUAUGUAAGUUGUCUCCUCUCUGCCCCACCCUCCACAGUAUAGGUAAGUUGUCUCCCCUCUGCCCCACCCUCCACAGUAUAGGUAAGUUGUCUCCCCUCUGCCCCACCCUCCACAGUAUAGGUAAGUUGUCUCCUCUGCCCCACCCUCCACAGUAUAGGUAAGUUGUCUCCUCUCUGCCCCACCCUCCACAGUAUAGGUAAGUUGUCUCCCCUCUGCCCCACCCUCCACAGUAUGUGUAAGUUGUCUCCUCUCUGCCCCACCCUCCACAGUAUAGGUAAGUUGUCUCCCCUCUGCCCCACCCUCCACAGUAUAGGUAAGUUGUCUCCUCUCUGCCCCACCCUCCACAGUAUAGGUGAGUUGUCUCCCUCUGCCCCACCCUCCACAGUAUAGGUAAGUUGUCUCCCCUCUGCCCCACCCUCCACAGUAUCUGUAAGUUGUCUCCUCUCUGCCCCACCCUCCACAGUAUA
This is a long non-coding RNA of Haliotis rubra (blacklip abalone), 526 nucleotides long. RefSeq lists it as uncharacterized. The record is from RefSeq and is a predicted model, not a curated record. The transcript has 3 exons. NCBI's taxonomy places the organism in Eukaryota, Metazoa, Mollusca, Gastropoda, Lepetellida, Haliotidae.